AUUCAAGAAUUCAUUAUUUUGUGGGAAAACCAGGGGCUGCGGAAGAAGUUUAUGACAACGAACCCAUCAUAUUUGUGGUUCGAUGUGUGCCCUUCAUCAUGUUACUGCUGGCUGUGUUCUUUCUGAACAGAGGCAAAAAGAAUAAAAGACCAAGAGCAGGUCCACAAACAGCAGAAAAGGAAGACUUAGUCGUGGAGGAGGAGAACGAACAAAAAGGACGAGAUCAACUCGGACAAGAAAGAAACGAAGAAUAGAGGGAUAGACAACUAGGACAGGAAAGAGGAGUGGAAACUGAGAAGGAAUUAACGGCAGAGGAAGGAGACGUGAAAUAGAGAGCUGAGCAAACACAGGGAAGAGAAGUGGACGUGGUGAAAGAUUAACAGGACAAGAAAGAGACUUGAACAAGAGAAGUGAGGAAUUGAAUUAAUGUGUUGAAUUAGCAGAUUCAUGUAAGUGCUAGAAAUCAUGAUUCUUUAAACAACACCCUCGUCCGGAGGGAGGGUCGGAAACAAUGCACUAGCUUGUUUAUUGGCAACUCAUGUGGUAGUAUAACACAUACUGAAAACAAUAACUAACCACAGAGGCUCACAUGUAUGCAAAUUAGUGUUCCUUAUACAGAAGGAAGUCGCCUCAAGAGUCAGUCGGUCCAGUGUCCCAACAACCCAAACUGCAACACAAAACAUUUACGUCUCAGUCCAGGAUAAAGGCUUUAAUGUGCAGUGGUAGCCAGCAGUACAGAGUCUCUUGCAGGUUUCUUGCACCUGGCGUAGCUGCUCUUUGAUAAAGUCUUGAACAGCCUUGUUGUUCAGUGAGGCCUGUGCACAACUUGGGCUGUUCUUACAUAGACUUCUAACAUUCACAGCAAUGGCAAAGCUCCUCAGCACAAGGAAUGGGAGCCUCCGUCCCGACCCCUUUCACCCCCCGUCCCUUUUCCUCUAUACUGCUAUCGCCGAGUUUAGAGGUAAGGCCCGGGCAGAUGUGCUGGCAUUGUAGUGAGCUGGGACAUUUCCCAGACUAAUGCGCAUGUUGGAGUUGGAGUCAGUGAUCCAGAUUCACACAGACACCAUUGAUUUCACCCCACUCAAGUUUGGACAUACUGCAUACUUUAGCUGUGAGCAUUCUAGGGGGAACAUAACACACAUUACUGGAUUCAAUUUGGCUUAAACCUUUGUUAUUUGAAGUGUGAGAGUUCCUGCAAACCUCCAGUGGGUUUUCCCCAUUUAAAUGACUAUACGGGCUCUCAGAAGCACUCAGAACUCCAACCUGAUCAAGGGUGUGGUCAGUGCAGGGCAACACAUAGCAGUCCUGCUUGGUGAUGGCAUGGAGGUGGCAGUAAUCCACACAGAACCCCAAGAUGCUAUUCUUGACUAGUACAGCUCGGACCACCCAGUGUCUAUUCAAUGGCUCAAUCAUCUCAUUUACCUUUGGCUCUGCCAUUUGCUUCUUCUCCAACGGGUCUGUAGUGCGAUGGGGUGGGCGUGGGGGGUCCCUCGAGUGGUCUUGUCUACCACCUUGUGCUCUCUCCCUUGUCCGUGUCAGUUGUGGAUGAAAGGAGCAGUCAAAAUGAACAGGAAAUGAGUUAUUGUGUUAUUAACUGCAGCUUACUUGUAUGCUUCUAUCAGUAGACUGCCAGUGACCAAAGAGAGACGACAGCAGGAAGAGAGACGAAGAAAGACUAGUGGAUGAGAUUAUGAUUGGUUUAGUGGUUAGUGUGAGCCAGACUGUGCUCUGUUUUGAAAGUGUGCACUAUUUUGUGUAUUUUUGUACCCAAAGUAAAGAUAAAAAGAGCUCUCAACUCAUACACCUGUUUCUUCCCGUGUUCUUAGAGUAAAAAACGUCAUUCUUGGUUGUACAUAAAAUAAAUCUGGGGUUAUUUUGUUUGUGUGUUUGUACAAAACUGUAUUAAAUGUGUCUGACAAACAGGAACAAAACUCAGCCAUGAUCAAGACUCUUAGUGUUUUGUGGUCAGC
Molecule: long non-coding RNA, 1970 nt
Organism: Ictalurus punctatus (channel catfish)
Lineage: Eukaryota; Metazoa; Chordata; Actinopteri; Siluriformes; Ictaluridae
Source: Ensembl